GCUGAAAUCUGAGAUGGGCUCUAGGCCCAUAUUGCAAUUUCUGAAAAAUCUCUAAGGGCCCAUGUGGGUUAUAUGGCACUAGGUGUGGUGGGAAGUUUAGUCCCACCCCGGAAGUGGAAGGAGAGUUGGAGUGGUUUAUAAGGGUUUCUCUUCUACAUGCUAUUGGAGCUUGAGAAGAGAAGAGGCCCUCGCGCACUCCUCCUCCGCCACCCGCCUCGCCACGCCACGCCUCGUCACGACGCGCCACGUCGGAUCGUGGGCUGUCACGGACUCGGACGUGGGUCGAGCCCACGUCUCUCCACGCGGCUGCGCCUAUAAGUAUGCGGUGUCUCCUAACCCUAGCCACCACGAACAGAUCACAUCUGCUCACGCGCACGCCCACCGUC
This 386-nucleotide ribosomal RNA is filed under the name Triticum aestivum (bread wheat). RNAcentral describes it as "partial small subunit ribosomal RNA". The record is from RNAcentral. Lineage: Eukaryota; Viridiplantae; Streptophyta; Magnoliopsida; Poales; Poaceae.